CAAAAGACAAAAAAAC
RNAcentral lists this small RNA (16 nucleotides) under Arabidopsis thaliana (thale cress). Its description in RNAcentral is "ATSL073730". Lineage: Eukaryota; Viridiplantae; Streptophyta; Magnoliopsida; Brassicales; Brassicaceae. The record is from RNAcentral.